ACAGAGUCGAGGUGCUUGUCUUGCUGUUAGUUAGCUCCUGUCCACACUGAAUGUUCUGCAUUGCUAUGUCAGGCCUGUGAUCGUGGAGAUCCCUCACUUUGCGGCCCUUCGAGGAAAGGAAAGGGAACUGGUGGUCCUGCGCAGUGAGAAUGGGGACAGCUGGAAAGAGCAUUUCUGUGACUACACUGAAGAUGAAUUGAAUGAAAUUCUUAACGGCAUGGAUGAAGUACUGGAUAGCCCAGAAGACCUAGAAAAGAAACGAAUCUGCCGCAUCAUCACCCGAGACUUCCCACAGUACUUUGCAGUGGUGUCUCGUAUCAAACAGGACAGCAAUCUGAUUGGCCCAGAAGGAGGUGUGCUGAGCAGCACAGUGGUGCCCCAGGUGCAGGCCGUCUUCCCAGAGGGGGCACUCACCAAGCGGAUCCGCGUAGGCCUGCAGGCUCAACCUAUGCACAG
RNAcentral lists this small RNA (456 nucleotides) under Pan troglodytes (chimpanzee). RNAcentral's name for it is "retained intron". Lineage: Eukaryota; Metazoa; Chordata; Mammalia; Primates; Hominidae. The record is from RNAcentral.